Molecule: transfer RNA, 130 nt
Organism: Puccinia sorghi
Lineage: Eukaryota; Fungi; Basidiomycota; Pucciniomycetes; Pucciniales; Pucciniaceae
Rfam family: tRNA
About the family: Transfer RNA (tRNA) molecules are approximately 80 nucleotides in length. Their secondary structure includes four short double-helical elements and three loops (D, anti-codon, and T loops).
Source: Rfam
GCCUUCGUGGCUCAGCUGGUUAGAGCGCCGGUCUCAUACAUGCGCGAUCAUUGCACCGCGUGGUGCGUAAUAUGACCACACUUCACGGUGGGCCAUCCGGAGAUCGCCAGUUCGAUCCUGGCCGAGGGCA